GGAGGGAUGGCUGAGUGGUCAAAAGCAGCAGACUGUAAAUCUGCCGACGUGAGUCUACGUAGGUUCAAAUCCUUCUCCCUCCA
Molecule: transfer RNA, 83 nt
Organism: Neorickettsia helminthoeca str. Oregon
Lineage: Bacteria; Pseudomonadati; Pseudomonadota; Alphaproteobacteria; Rickettsiales; Anaplasmataceae
Rfam family: tRNA
About the family: Transfer RNA (tRNA) molecules are approximately 80 nucleotides in length.
Source: Rfam